RNAcentral lists this ribosomal RNA (424 nucleotides) under uncultured bacterium. Its description in RNAcentral is "partial 16S ribosomal RNA". It matches the Rfam family "Bacterial small subunit ribosomal RNA", at positions 360 to 776 of the family's 1533-position model. The record is from RNAcentral.
AAUAUGGGACAAUGGGCGAAAGCCUGAUCCAGCCAUGCCGCGUGUGUGAAGAAGGUCNNNGGAUUNUCAAGCACUCUACCUCCNGCGNAAGGGCAGUCAGUUAAUACCUUGCUGUUUUUACGUUACCAACAGAAUAAGCACCGGCUAACUUCGUGCCAGCAGCCGCGGUAAUACGAAGGCUGCAAGCGUUAAUCGGAAUUACUGGGCGUAAAGCGCGCGUAGGUGGUUCAGUAAGAUGGAAGUGAAAGCCCCGGGCUUAACCUGGGAACUGCUUUCAAAACUGGCAAGCUAGAGUAUGGCAGAGGGUGGUGGAAUUUCCUGUGUAGCGGUGAAAUGCGUAGAUAUAGGAAGGAACACCAGUGGCGAAGGCGACCACCUGGGCUAAUACUGACACUGAGGUGCGAAAGCGUGGGGAGCAAACAGU